AUAAUUUAAUUUUGGAUGUAACGCGUCUUCUGAUUGGCCGACGUUAUUUUGUUAUCAGACCAUAGACAUAAUUUAGUCAUGUGACCGUGACGUCAUCAACGUUUUUUCAAGGUUUUCUACGGUUUAAAAUGGAAUUAGAAUUAAAUUAUAAGAAAUGACUGUAAUAUUUUUUUCUGUCUAUUCGAAUAACAUGAAAAAUGUGGUGCACACUGUUAAAUAACCCGC
Molecule: long non-coding RNA, 225 nt
Filed under: Mytilus galloprovincialis (Mediterranean mussel)
Lineage: Eukaryota; Metazoa; Mollusca; Bivalvia; Mytilida; Mytilidae
Source: RNAcentral